RNAcentral lists this ribosomal RNA (603 nucleotides) under Ilumatobacter fluminis. RNAcentral's name for it is "bacterial SSU rRNA". It matches the Rfam family "Bacterial small subunit ribosomal RNA", at positions 68 to 682 of the family's 1533-position model. Lineage: Bacteria; Bacillati; Actinomycetota; Acidimicrobiia; Acidimicrobiales; Ilumatobacteraceae. The record is from RNAcentral.
GAGGUCCAAGAGAGCUUGCUCUCUGAAGACCUAGUGGCGAACGGGUGAGUAACACGUGAGAAACCUGCCUCGGAGUGGGGAAUAACUCGGGGAAACUCGAGCUAAUACCGCAUACCUUCAGAUGGUCGCAUGGCCGACUGAAGAAAGAAUUUCGCUCUGGGAGGGUCUCGCGGCCUAUCAGCUAGUUGGUGGGGUAACGGCCUACCAAGGCAGCGACGGGUAGCUGGAUUGAGAGAUCGAUCAGCCACACUGGGACUGAGACACGGCCCAGACUCCUACGGGAGGCAGCAGUGGGGAAUCUUGCGCAAUGGGCGAAAGCCUGACGCAGCAACGCCGCGUGCGGGAUGACGGCCUUCGUGGUUGUAAACCGCUUUCAGCAGGGACGAAAAUGACGGUACCUGCAGAAGAAGCUCCGGCUAACUACGUGCCAGCAGCCGCGGUAAUACGUAGGGGGCAAGCGUUGUCCGGAAUCAUUGGGCGUAAAGAGCUCGUAGGCGGUUCAGUAAGUCGGGUGUGAAAGCUCCGAGCUCAACUCGGAGAGGCCACUCGAUACUGCUGUGACUAGAAUCCAGUAGGGGAGUGUGGAAUUCCUGGUGUAGCGGU